CUGGCGGCGUGCUUAACACAUGCAAGUCGAACGGUAAGGCCCUUCGGGGUACACGAGUGGCGAACGGGUGAGUAACACGUGGGUGAUCUGCCCUGCACUUCGGGAUAAGCCUGGGAAACUGGGUCUAAUACCGGAUAGGACCAUGGACUUCACGGUUUGUGGUGGAAAGCUUUUGCGGUGUGGGAUGGGCCCGCGGCCUAUCAGCUUGUUGGUGGGGUAAUGGCCUACCAAGGCGACGACGGGUAGCCGGCCUGAGAGGGUGUCCGGCCACACUGGGACUGAGAUACGGCCCAGACUCCUACGGGAGGCAGCAGUGGGGAAUAUUGCACAAUGGGCGCAAGUCUGAUGCAGCGACGCCGCGUGAGGGAUGACGGCCUUCGGGUUGUAAACCUCUUUCAAUAGGGACGAAGCGCAAGUGACGGUACCUAUAGAAGAAGCACCGGCCAACUACGUG
Molecule: ribosomal RNA, 454 nt
Filed under: uncultured bacterium
Lineage: Bacteria
Description: bacterial SSU rRNA
Rfam family: Bacterial small subunit ribosomal RNA
Source: RNAcentral